Megalobrama amblycephala (Wuchang bream) is the source of this 1190-nucleotide long non-coding RNA. RefSeq lists it as uncharacterized. The transcript has 2 exons. NCBI's taxonomy places the organism in Eukaryota, Metazoa, Chordata, Actinopteri, Cypriniformes, Xenocyprididae. The record is from RefSeq and is a predicted model, not a curated record.
UCUGUAACCCAGGUCAUUAACCUAGGUCACUAGCAUUUAUUUGCAAUUUUAUAUAACUAUUAUUGUCAUAAAAUAUAUAAAUAUAUAAAAAAAGAAAGAAGAAAAAUGCAGUAAAAUUGCUUUAUAAAUUAAAUUUAGAAAUGCUCUUGAGCCGAUUGCUCAUUGGUGAGGUGAAAAGUUAGUCCCGCCCCUUGCCGAAAGUUAGCGGACAAGCAGGCAGAACGAGAGUGAACUUGAACGAGAGAAGACGCAGUUGCACAAAUUGUGAUUAAAAUCCUUUGUUUAAUAAUCCAGCGAUAGAUUAUUAACAAGUUGAAUUUAUAUCUGUGAUUAUAUAACUUUUAGAAACUCGACUGUUUGAGAAUAGUAUUGUGUGACGACGUUUGAACCGGACAUGAUGAGACUGACGCAAUAAGAUAUAAUAUACAUCUUUUCCGGGGAGAAACAACUUUAUUUUUGUUUUCUGAUUUAUACUUCUCCUUGGCUGGGUUUUUUUUUCUUUGUGAGAAUUGUGUUCCUGAAUCCUGUCCUUGCUGAAUAUUCGCAUUCCGGUCGGGACUGGCGAGCCAUUCCAUCCUCUCGUACCUGGAAACAGAGAAAAGAGCGUGAAGUCUGCCGAACUGGUAGGAUCAAACAAAAGAGCGCGAAGUCUGCCGAACUGGUAGGAUCAAACAAAAGAGCGUGAAGCCUGCCGAACUGGUAGGAUCAAACUAUUUUUGCUUUGAUUUUUCUGUUAUUUCUCCCGAGUUUUUUCUAUCUGGAUCUUCGGUGGAUAGAAACAUUGUUUUUUCUCUCUCCUGGAUUAAAUUUCUUCUUCCACUUUUUGAUGAACAUUGCUUUAUACUCUUGAAUUUGAAAUUGAGACACUGAACUUAAACUCAACUGGACAUUUAGACUGAGUUGAAUGCAAAAACUGAAGCUCAUUGUGAAACAGAUUUCAAAAAUAUUUCAAAUCUGAACGUCUCAAAACUGAGACACUGAUUUUGAAAUUGUGUGUGAAAUUUAUUAUUUUACUGUUUUGUUUAUUUUUAUUCUGAAUCUGAACCUUGAUUUGGGUUUUUGAAUUUGUAUACCCUUUUGUUAUUUUGGGUUUUAUUAUUCAAUUCACUUGUUAUUUCAUUGCAAUUUAAAGAGAAGGAUUGAAGACAAAAAAUAAUCAAUCAAAACAAUAUACUACAUUCUCUUCCAUA